AGCUGGUUCUUUUGCUAUUGCAAAAAUUCAACCAAGAGAUAGGAAAAUGGGUCAACAGCAACAACAAAUUCAUGGAGACUGCAGCAAAAGAUUAUUUGACAGACUUUCUUCCCUUAUAUGGAAAAGAGAGCUGUUCUCCUUUUUGAACCAUAUUCCCCUAAAUACCCUCACAAUCUUCUUAGGCCUCUCACUCCUUCAUUUUCUUUUCUAGCCCCUCCAUCUCAUCCUUAUUUUGAAUUCAGAUGAGUUAAUACAGUUUGAUGGCCUAGUUCAGAUUCUAGAAAGGGACAGCUAUUCAGAGAUGAUAGUGACGUGCUUUUCUCUUCUCAUAUUGCUUCUCUUUAAAGAAUUUACAGGACCUCUGCCUACAUUUACAUCUCAAGAGAAUAGUUUCAUCUGGUGUCACAUCCUUGCCAAAAUUUAUUGAGAAUAUUGGUAAAGGACAACAUAUUUACAAGGAUUUCUUUAUUAAAAACUGGGGAGAUUGGCAAGUGACACUGUCACUAAAUAAAUAAAAAUAAAAACUGAGAAGAGCAAUAACAUUUGAUUUGCUAUUUCCCAGUCUAGGGAAGAAUAUCAAGUCAAACUUUAUGAAGUCCGAGACAAUGGGAAAAGGCGAGGUAUUCCUGUCCAGGCCCUCUUCAAGUUAGAAGCACUGAAACUUUAUUUAUAAUAGUACGAAUGAGACUGGUAUGAGCAGGGAAGAGCCAGCAGAUCGGUCUGGCUGGAGCGUAUCAUACGAGGGGAGCAUAAUGGGCAAGGAAGCCAAAGAGGAGGCAGGAGCUCGAUCGUUCAUCACGCAGUCUUGAAGGCAAGGUCCACAGGGCCUGAAAAUUGCUUCCAGCAACUGACAAGUUCAUCCCCUUCCAACUGGUCUGACAAACCCUGAGGAAAAAAGACAGUGAUAUCCACCCCCCCACUGCGCCCCCACCUCCUUAACUGUAAAAUUGUCCAUCUCAUCUUGGACUAUCCGAAAACCAACAUGGGACUACACAAAACCGCUACUUGAAGAUCAGCACCAAAAGAGUUGUUUGUGGAAAAUGGUUGACCAGGGUCAAUGUCAUGUGUAGAUGUGCAAGAAACUGCCUACCUUCUAGUCUCCGCUUAUCUACAUGUGUAUAGGAGAUGUUGGAAAUUUCUUUUUGGACUGAUUCUUUGAAGCCUUACCUCCUUGCAUAGUCCUGAUAGAAUAACAAAUGAGGUUCCCAAUGUUGGGUGAGAAGAGUGGGUUUCAAGAGUCAUUCACACACUGCAUUCUGCCUUCCAGAGGCAGUGAGGGGCAAGAAUAAGAGAAGGAUCAUGGGCUUUGGGGUUAGCCAGGACUACACCCAAAUUUCUGCUGGGCUUGGUACUAGUUGGGUCCUGGAGCAUGAUGCGUUCUUCCCCGUUAAGGUUUUUUUUUUUUUUUUUUUUUUUUUUUGGUCUGAUCUGGUAGCCUGCAGUAAAUGGUUGCUCCCUUGGCCUUAGGAUUUAUAGCCUGUGACCAGUUACCAGAUUAUCUCACCACUGAAUGCCUAGAUAGUAUUGUGUAUAAUGAAAGCAAGUACGGUUAUUAACACUUGAAGCUUUUUAACCAUAGUAUUUCUUGGUUCAAAGCAAAGAAACCGGAUCCACCUAUUUAGUUUUGCAUGACUGGUACACAUAUCUAUAAUAUUGAGAGGAGGGGCCAGCUGGGCUUCCUGGGUCAAGUAGGGGCUCAGGAAUCUGUGAAACUCACUCAUUUCCUGCAUCAGGACUGACUUCGGUCCUGGAUGAAUAAUAUUGAAGAUAUAUGCUUAAAAUAUUCCUAACACCAGGAUGUGUGUAUGUGUUUUCUUCCCCAAGAAAGGUAUAAACGACGAUAAUUUUGCUGUAAGUUUCCCUGUGUCCUCUCUCCCUCUCUCCCUUCCCCCUCCCCUAAAACUAAAAGGAAUGUUAAAUGCCUGUUUUCUGUGACCAGCGGACCUUAUCUAUGCUCCUAAUUCCAUUUCCUUGUAAACAUACUUUGUAAAGUCCUGUGAGAUCCUGUCUCCUUUGCCAUGCCACUACAAGGUCAUAAAGUAGAUAAAACCUAAGUUGCAAUUCUGGUUUUCCUCAAAAUCUAAAACAUGUCACACAAUAAAAUAAUUUACUGCCUUUGUUUCUAGCUCUGGUAACAUCUUCCCUCGGCAGGCACGUAUAUCCCGCCUUAAAGAGUUUAAAAGGCAACUGCAUAAUCUAACUCUGGCUACCCGCUGGGGACCCCUUCCACGCUGUGAAAGCUUUGUACUGUCACUCUGCUCAAUAAAGCCUA
Molecule: long non-coding RNA, 2272 nt
Organism: Rhinopithecus roxellana (golden snub-nosed monkey)
Lineage: Eukaryota; Metazoa; Chordata; Mammalia; Primates; Cercopithecidae
Exons: 3
Source: RefSeq, a predicted model, not a curated record